This 492-nucleotide ribosomal RNA is filed under the name uncultured bacterium. RNAcentral's name for it is "partial 16S ribosomal RNA". It matches the Rfam family "Bacterial small subunit ribosomal RNA", at positions 28 to 507 of the family's 1533-position model. The record is from RNAcentral.
GAUGAACGCUGGCGGCGUGCCUAACACAUGCAAGUCGAACGGAAGGACAGUAAGCGUGUGCUCUUCCGGGUGGCGGAUGGCGGGAGGGUGACGAAUGCAUCGGGAUCUUCUUUUUCGGGGGGGAUAACGGAAGGAAGGUUACGAUAAUACAGCAUAUUAUGUACCGUGGAGAGCAGGGGAAAUUCGCGGCUUUCGCGAUUGAAUUAGACGUUGUCGGAUUAGCUUGUUGGGGAGGUAAAGGCACAGCAAGGCGACGAUACGGAGCCGGUCGGAGAGGAUGAUCAGCCACACUGGAACUGAGACACGGUCCAGACGCCUACGGGAGGCAGCAGUAGGGAAUAUGGGGCAAUGGGCGCAAGCCUGAUCCAGCCAUACCGCGUGGGUGAAGAAGGCCUUCGGGUGGUAAAGCCCUUUUUUUGGGAAAGAAAAGCAGUUGGUUUAUACCGCGCCGUUCUGACGGUACCUAAAUAAAAAGCACCGGCUAACUUCGUG